CACCGACUCUGUCUCCUGCAG
RNAcentral lists this microRNA (21 nucleotides) under Homo sapiens (human). RNAcentral describes it as "hsa-miR-6510-3p". The record is from miRBase by way of RNAcentral. Lineage: Eukaryota; Metazoa; Chordata; Mammalia; Primates; Hominidae.